GUCGACGAUUACUCCUACGGGAGGCAGCAGUAAGGAAUAUUGCGCAAUGGGCGAAAGCCUGACGCAGCGACGCCGCGUGGGGGAUGAAGGUCUUCGGAUUGUAAACCCCUUUCGGGAGGGAAGAUGGAGCGAGCAAUCGUUCGGACGGUACCUCCAGAAGCAGCCACGGCCAACUUCGUGCCAGCAGCCGCGGUAAUAAUCUCUAGA
RNAcentral lists this ribosomal RNA (207 nucleotides) under uncultured Nitrospira sp. RNAcentral describes it as "partial 16S ribosomal RNA". It matches the Rfam family "Bacterial small subunit ribosomal RNA", at positions 325 to 530 of the family's 1533-position model. Lineage: Bacteria; Pseudomonadati; Nitrospirota; Nitrospiria; Nitrospirales; Nitrospiraceae. The record is from RNAcentral.